UGGGGAAUAUUGGACAAUGGGGGGAACCCUGAUCCAGCCAUGCCGCGUGUGUGAAGAAGGCCUUAUGGUUGUAAAGCACUUUAAGCGAGGAGGAGGGUACUGGUAUUAAUACUACCAGGUACUGGACGUUACUCGCAGAAUAAGCACCGGCUAACUCUGUGCCAGCAGCCGCGGUAAUACAGAGGGUGCGAGCGUUAAUCGGAUUUACUGGGCGUAAAGCGUGCGUAGGCGGCUAAUUGAGUCGGAUGUGAAAUCCCCGAGCUUAACUUGGGAAUUGCAUUCGAUACUGGUUAGCUAGAGUGUGGGAGCGGAUGGUAGGAUUCCAGGUGUAGCGGUGAAAUGCGUAGAGAUCUGGAGGAAUACCGAUGGCGAAGGCAGCCAUCUGGCCUAACACUGACGCUGAAGUACGAAAGCAUGGGGAGCAAACGGG
This 430-nucleotide ribosomal RNA is filed under the name Pseudomonadota bacterium. RNAcentral describes it as "Proteobacteria bacterium partial 16S ribosomal RNA". It matches the Rfam family "Bacterial small subunit ribosomal RNA", at positions 355 to 776 of the family's 1533-position model. Lineage: Bacteria; Pseudomonadati; Pseudomonadota. The record is from RNAcentral.